UAUUCAAGAUGGUCUAAUUGACCUUUUUUUUUUUCAUUUUCUUUUUUUUCAUUUACAGAGAGAAAAACUGGUGUCUUACAUUCUACUGCAGCAGGUCCGUUCACAGGAUCCCGUCUACAGACAGAAGCUCGGUGACCUCUUGCUGAUUCUAUCCGAUUACCCUGACUUCAGCAUGGGUCGCUUCUUCGUCAUAGCCAGAGCCAGACUUGUCGAUAUAUCGAGCUUCAUCGCCAUGUACGUGGUGAUUCUACACCAGUUCCGGACCAGUGAGACCGGGGACGGAAAAACAGAUUCUGAGAAUCCUGCGAAUGCAACAGAAUCCUCCUACUGAAAGUCUGGCACUGAGAAACAAUCUGAAGUCUAGAAAGGGAUUAACUCGGUUAUGUAUCCACCUCACCUCCGAGGUGCUAGUACCAAGGCUUUGGCUAUAGUAGAUUCACAUCAACCUUACAUUUGACGUCUAGGCCAGUCCUCUACGACA
Long non-coding RNA from Macrobrachium nipponense, 481 nucleotides. RefSeq lists it as uncharacterized. Lineage: Eukaryota; Metazoa; Arthropoda; Malacostraca; Decapoda; Palaemonidae. The record is from RefSeq and is a predicted model, not a curated record. The transcript is spliced from 3 exons.